Non-coding RNA from Bactrocera oleae (olive fruit fly), 749 nucleotides. The record is from RefSeq and is a predicted model, not a curated record. NCBI's taxonomy places the organism in Eukaryota, Metazoa, Arthropoda, Insecta, Diptera, Tephritidae.
UAAUGGACUGCUUCAAUUCAGUCAAAUUUCUGGGUUUUGUUUUGUACACCUCUUACUUGACAUAACUCCAUAAAAGAAAGUUUGGUGCAGUAAGGUCAGGUAACUUUAAGAGCCAACGGAAAGUGAAUUUCUUGAUAUUAAUUUGUUAUCAAAUUUUCGUUGGAGCUCCGCAAAAACCAGUCAGGCUAUAGUGUGCUAGGCAGUUGCUCCAUCUUGCUGGAACCAAACGCUAUUUAAAGGGAUACGUCUUCGUCGCAGUUCUGGGAAGUAUGGCCCGACAAUACACCUUGAUGAAACCGCGCACCACACAGUGACUCGUUCUGGGUGAAGUUUCGUCUCGCGAGCUAUUUCUGGAUUUGAUUCACUCCAUACAAGACAAUUUUGCUUGUUUACAUUUCUGUUUAGAUCACUUUACGGUCUUCUUGCGAUACUUAUGAUUACAUGUUUACCAACCUCAUAAUGGUCCAUCUACUUGGGAAAGUGCCGCCAAAAUCCCACCUGAAUUUCCUUUGAACGGUAAUGACAGACUGCAAAGUAUGGUACCGCUGCACUAUUCAAACCCUCUUUUCAAUAUCCUUGCUAUUUUUAAAUUUUUAAAUAAUAGUCUGUCAAAUAAAAAAAAGUUAUUACGGUUUUUUGUGUAGCACGAUUCGAGAGCCACCCUAUAUUAAAAAUUUAAUGACUUGAAGUCGUGCCCAUGAUUUCCUUACUAAAGUACAAUAAAAUGUGUAUUAUUUUGAUUAUUAUAA